RNAcentral lists this ribosomal RNA (783 nucleotides) under Acinetobacter calcoaceticus. Its description in RNAcentral is "bacterial SSU rRNA". It matches the Rfam family "Bacterial small subunit ribosomal RNA", at positions 40 to 821 of the family's 1533-position model. Lineage: Bacteria; Pseudomonadati; Pseudomonadota; Gammaproteobacteria; Moraxellales; Moraxellaceae. The record is from RNAcentral.
CGGCAGCUACCAUGCAAGUCGAGCGGAGAGAGGUAGCUUGCUACUGAUCUUAGCGGCGGACGGGUGAGUAAUGCUUAGGAAUCUGCCUAUUAGUGGGGGACAACAUUUCGAAAGGAAUGCUAAUACCGCAUACGUCCUACGGGAGAAAGCAGGGGAUCUUCGGACCUUGCGCUAAUAGAUGAGCCUAAGUCGGAUUAGCUAGUUGGUGGGGUAAAGGCCUACCAAGGCGACGAUCUGUAGCGGGUCUGAGAGGAUGAUCCGCCACACUGGGACUGAGACACGGCCCAGACUCCUACGGGAGGCAGCAGUGGGGAAUAUUGGACAAUGGGCGCAAGCCUGAUCCAGCCAUGCCGCGUGUGUGAAGAAGGCCUUAUGGUUGUAAAGCACUUUAAGCGAGGAGGAGGCUACUUUAGAUAAUACCUAGAGAUAGUGGACGUUACUCGCAGAAUAAGCACCGGCUAACUCUGUGCCAGCAGCCGCGGUAAUACAGAGGGUGCAAGCGUUAAUCGGAUUUACUGGGCGUAAAGCGCGCGUAGGCGGCUAAUUAAGUCAAAUGUGAAAUCCCCGAGCUUAACUUGGGAAUUGCAUUCGAUACUGGUUAGCUAGAGUGUGGGAGAGGAUGGUAGAAUUCCAGGUGUAGCGGUGAAAUGCGUAGAGAUCUGGAGGAAUACCGAUGGCGAAGGCAGCCAUCUGGCCUAACACUGACGCUGAGGUGCGAAAGCAUGGGGAGCAAACAGGAUUAGAUACCCUGGUAGUCCAUGCCGUAAACGAUGUCUACUAGCC